GCCAAAGAUGCAUCAUCAUGUACAUAUCGCCUGCUGCUGCUGCUGCUGCUUUUGGAUUAGCAUCAGGUGCUGAGUAGUACGACUACGUCUCUUCUGGCGGGGCUUCCAUAUUCCAUCAUCACAGAAGUUAUCCAGCUAAGCUUAAAGGGGAAAAAAAAAACCUCGGCCUUUUUCACCCACCCACUAGCCCCCAGAUGCAUUCCAACUUCAUCGAAUUUUGAUUUCAGUGUUUAUCCUUAUCUGACAUGCUGGGAAAAUUCAUUCAUGUUUAGCAGACUACAAGGAUGGUGCCGCCAUUCUGAUAAACUUGCCUGUCAAGUUGUUACACAGCACAACUUCCAAUUCAACGCCUAAUUGAUCUAUAACCGAAUCUGGUCCACAACAAUUUAUUAAUUAGUCAUAUAUUAUUCCUGAGAAUGAUUACGAAUAUAUAUAUAUAUAUUUCUUUUUUCAUUUCUUCAAUUCCCACAGAAUGAAGAAAACCGCUGCUACUAACUAGUACUACUACUGAAGCCUAGCAGGGAGAUGAAGAGCAAACAAAUUGCUAUAAAAUUCCUCAAUUACAGAAAUUGAGCAACUAGCAGGGAGAUGAACAUUUUUUGGUAUAAGUUUGCUUGUUCUCGGCAAAGAUUAACUACUGAUGUGAUGUGAGAGGAAAGGAAGCGUCUGGAGUACUGAAUUGGAGGCAGGAGAAAGCUUACACUUGCAAUUUGAGAUGGACCUAUGUUAUCCUAAUGCAUCACUACUACUGCAUCUAUAGGUUACUUCAUGUGGUUCACACAAUCUUUGAAUGCAUCUUAGAAGACAAAAUUUCCAAAUGAUUUGAUGGAAAUCUUCAAACUUUGGAAUAAAAGCGGAGGAAAAUAUCUCUCGCCUCCGAAGAAAGAUCCAAACGCGAGAGUUGCUAAGUACACGGUACGCUUUGUUCUCUGAUCGCUCGACAUCUAGUCUCCUCUCCUCUUUUAGUCUCCUCUCCUCUUUUAGUCUUUUCUUUUAAUCCGUCCGCUGCUUUGAAAGUAGAUGGAAUUCAUGUGCCAACAAGGUCAUGUUGCACCAACGUGUUGCCUGACAAGCCAAAAAAAAAAAAAGAAAAGAAAAUGAAUGAAUCUCGAGCGGGAUUUGAGGGCAUCAGAUCACUGCAGAUCGAUCUUUUGCCAGUUUUCCUUUUUUUUUUUUUUUUGGUUCAUGAUUUACUACGAUUCUAGAAGUAUUCCUUGGUUUUUAGGACAGUACACUUUCUUAGUUACCCUAAGCAAGAUGAGAUUCUCUAGUCAUAGCUUUGUCAAUCCUUUUAUCUACAUGUUCAGUUCUCUGUUUACCAUUAGGUCGGCAUCCCAAUCCUUUCUGUCAAAACGAAGAUCAGAACUUAAAUUUUUUUUUUUUUUUUUCAUUAUAAAUUGCCUAGAGUGUGUGACUUUUAUAUUUUUAGCCAAGAACAAGGCAUGCUUCUGGCAUUCUUCUGGCAUUUAGCCAUUUAGCAUCAGCGCCCUUCCCCCACAGCCUCACACAACGAGAUAGAUGCUUUAUGUCUCUUCAAAUAAAUUCUUAUUUCGAUAAACUAAUAUCAAUAUAUAUUUUUAGUAAAAGGAUUUUUUUUUGCUUUAAAUAAAUACAAGCAAGCAAGCAACAACAGGUGAACGUUCGAAUUCAUAUAGCUCAAAAGACGAGUUUUGAUGCAUGCAAACCUCAAUGGAGAAGUCGACAUGCAUUAACCCAAACACAAGCAUUUCAUCAUUAGAAGCAGCAACAGAAGUGAGAUUUUUGUUAAUACAUACAUAGGCUCGUUUUUGUCCUCAAAUAUGCCUUAAUACACAAGUUAUGAAGUCGAGCAGCUAAAUGGAUCACAGUCGUACAUAUAAAAGAGAGAAUCCCGUCCAAUGUGAACCAGGGUCAAUACAUACCAUAGUACGUACAGCCAGUGCUGAUAUAAUUUCAGCGUAUCACUACCAGGCACCAAGGGGGCAAAAAUGGAAGUUAAUUACAUGCCACCCGUGCAUGGGAUUCAGCAAUUAGUCCUAGAAAUAUAUAUAUAUAUAUAUAUAUAUAUAUAUCCUCACUGGUUCAGUCCUUGCUCAUUUGCACUUCCACAAAUUUGUGCAGUGAAAAAUAUCUUGCGGCGAAAUUCAGCUGUUACCAGAGACUUGACCCCCAAACUGUGAUACAACAAACAGACUAGAGAUAGACAAGUCACAAAAUAUUCAAUUAUUGAAUAAAUAUAUAUAUAUAUUUGCAAUUUUGAAAGCACCUGAAGGAUGGUGAACUUAAUUAUACCUCCUCUGCAAACACUUCCCAGAAAAUUCCUUCUAUUGUACGUUUCGAUUUAGCAAACCUUGAAAAGAUAGGUAUAGAUCUUUGUUAUCCAUACCAAAAAUCUGUUCCGCUUUCCUCAAAGUUUCCUGGUUGUUUGAAAGAAAAGAGAUUGUGCAGUUAACAGGGCCACAUGAAACCAGGAUAAAAAAAUAAGAUUAACUUCCGUGGUUUAUACCUCACGGGAUUGCUUUUGCGCAUUUAGUUCCUUUAUGUUGGCCAGAAAUGCACUGAACUGCUCAUAGGAUAGACGGCUCCUACAUAAACAGUCCAGAAGCAAUCAAGUUUAUAAUCCCUUUGAAUUAAGCAAUCAAGUUAGAGUAACAGAAAGAUCAAAAAGUUGGUAGUCACCUUGCUUGACGAAAGAACUCUUUUCCAUCAAUUCGAGGAGUGCGAGCUUAAAAGUUCCAAAUCCAUAAAAAGAAAAUGCAAAAAGAUCAGAAGCUGUCCAACCAUAUUAAAAUGCACAGAAUUCAUUAGCUACCAGACAGGGCAAUUAAUACAGCUUCCAAUCAGAUGUCCUUCCUUAACGAUGAUGAUAUGACUAAGAACAACCCCACAUCACAAAAUAUUUUGCAGAUUGAUAGGCUUUACCUUUAAGACUAGCUAUCAAUUAUGAAAUCUAAUAUCCAGAAUUCCGCAGACCUGGCAUAGGGCGAC
This 2967-nucleotide long non-coding RNA is filed under the name Coffea arabica (coffee). RNAcentral's name for it is "long non-coding RNA (CARA_LNC003638)". Lineage: Eukaryota; Viridiplantae; Streptophyta; Magnoliopsida; Gentianales; Rubiaceae. The record is from RNAcentral.